Gorilla gorilla gorilla (western lowland gorilla) is the source of this 866-nucleotide long non-coding RNA. RefSeq lists it as uncharacterized. The record is from RefSeq and is a predicted model, not a curated record. Lineage: Eukaryota; Metazoa; Chordata; Mammalia; Primates; Hominidae. The transcript is spliced from 3 exons.
GGCGCGCACCCCGCUCGCUCCCGGAACUGUCAUGCGGGCUGACAGCUGGCACACCCUCCUGUCGCCCUCCACCCGCCUGCAGAAAGCCCACUCCCUACAGUCACCUUGACAUUGCUCACCUGCCUGGGCCUCAGCCCAUGACCAAGGAAACUUUUGCCCUCCCUCCCCAGGAGCUCACUUACAGGCCAGCUUCAAAGGUACUGCCUACCUGAACCUGCCUUGUCCCAAAGGACACACUUCAGUCUGGGGAGAGUUUAAAGUUGUAGACAUAUCCAUUUUCAUUUAAGGAAUAUGAAGAUCAGGGAGGCAAAAUAUAGAGAGGAAAAACUGAGAGAUGAUCAGAAAUUCAGACGCAUUCUGGAAUGAGCACCCUUGACCAUACCAAGAACAAAGACUCUAUAAAAAUGUGAAGUCUUAUUAUUAUUCAUCCAUGUUCUACGUGGGAUCCACCCAAGACAUUGAAAACUGUACAGAACAGGGUGAAAUUGAAUCAGAUCAUUCUGUACUCCUAACAAGGUCCACCCCAUGAGAGACUUGCAGCAGAAUUAAUGACACUGUAUAUUUUCCUCUACUAACAACAACAACAACAACAACAACAACAACAACAAUCUAGGAAAAUCAAAGGCAGCCCGACAUGGAAAAUAACACAAAAUGAAUAUUUGGAUUACAGAUAGUGUGAUGGGAAGAACACACUGCCAAAAGUCCACCUAGUAUGUUGAAAUUACUGUUUCUAGCACAUAUAAGAUUUGCUGCCAAUUUGUACUGACUUCUGAAAAAUACUUCAUCCAUUGUCUUCUUACAUCAGAAUCAACUCCCUAAAUUCUUCAGCACUGGCUUUGUAAACUGGUUUCUGGUCUUUGUUUCUG